UUGCGAUCAUGGCUCUCCACAAUUUAGCGGUUCCCGUACGAUCCCCGAAGUUAACCAACGUCGAGCCUGGCCACUACCUAAAUGGGUGACCGCUUGAGAAUACCAGAUGCUAU
Acanthosepion pharaonis is the source of this 113-nucleotide non-coding RNA. Lineage: Eukaryota; Metazoa; Mollusca; Cephalopoda; Sepiida; Sepiidae. The record is from the annotation of a GenBank genome assembly.